RNAcentral lists this ribosomal RNA (861 nucleotides) under Cyanobium sp. LEGE 06140. RNAcentral describes it as "bacterial SSU rRNA". It matches the Rfam family "Bacterial small subunit ribosomal RNA", at positions 456 to 1317 of the family's 1533-position model. Lineage: Bacteria; Bacillati; Cyanobacteriota; Cyanophyceae; Synechococcales; Prochlorococcaceae. The record is from RNAcentral.
UCCAGAAGAAGAACUGACGGUACUUGAGGAAUAAGCCACGGCUAAUUCCGUGCCAGCAGCCGCGGUAAUACGGGAGUGGCAAGCGUUAUCCGGAAUUAUUGGGCGUAAAGCGUCCGCAGGCGGUCUUGAAAGUCUGUUGUUAAAGCGUGGAGCUCAACUCCAUUUCAGCAAUGGAAACUAGAAGACUAGAGUGUGGUAGGGGCAGAGGGAAUUCCCGGUGUAGCGGUGAAAUGCGUAGAUAUCGGGAAGAACACCAGUGGCGAAGGCGCUCUGCUGGGCCAUAACUGACGCUCAUGGACGAAAGCCAGGGGAGCGAAAGGGAUUAGAUACCCCUGUAGUCCUGGCCGUAAACGAUGAACACUAGGUGUCGGGGGAAUCGACCCCCUCGGUGUCGUAGCCAACGCGUUAAGUGUUCCGCCUGGGGAGUACGCACGCAAGUGUGAAACUCAAAGGAAUUGACGGGGGCCCGCACAAGCGGUGGAGUAUGUGGUUUAAUUCGAUGCAACGCGAAGAACCUUACCAGGGUUUGACAUCCUGCGAAUCUUUUGGAAACAGAAGAGUGCCUUCGGGAGCGCAGAGACAGGUGGUGCAUGGCUGUCGUCAGCUCGUGUCGUGAGAUGUUGGGUUAAGUCCCGCAACGAGCGCAACCCACGUCUUUAGUUGCCAGCAUUGAGUUGGGCACUCUAGAGAGACCGCCGGUGAUAAACCGGAGGAAGGUGUGGAUGACGUCAAGUCAUCAUGCCCCUUACAUCCUGGGCUACACACGUACUACAAUGCUACGGACAGAGGGCAGCAAACUCGCGAGAGCUAGCAAAUCCCAUAAACCGUGGCUCAGUUCAGAUCGUAGGCUGCAACUCGCCU